GGAUCAUUAGCUCAGCCAGUUAGAGCAAACGGCUCAUAACCGUUCGGUGCAUUUCAUUCAAGUCCUGUAUGGUCCA
RNAcentral lists this transfer RNA (76 nucleotides) under Enterococcus faecalis. RNAcentral's name for it is "tRNA-Ile". It matches the Rfam family "tRNA". From Rfam's summary of the family: Transfer RNA (tRNA) molecules are approximately 80 nucleotides in length. Their secondary structure includes four short double-helical elements and three loops (D, anti-codon, and T loops). Further hydrogen bonds mediate the characteristic L-shaped molecular structure. tRNAs have two regions of fundamental functional importance: the anti-codon, which is responsible for specific mRNA codon recognition, and the 3' end, to which the tRNAs corresponding amino acid is attached (by aminoacyl-tRNA synthetases). tRNAs cope with the degeneracy of the genetic code in two manners: having more than one tRNA (with a specific anti-codon) for a particular amino acid; and 'wobble' base-pairing, i.e. permitting non-standard base-pairing at the 3rd anti-codon position. Lineage: Bacteria; Bacillati; Bacillota; Bacilli; Lactobacillales; Enterococcaceae. RNAcentral also lists the same sequence under 1 other name. The record is from RNAcentral.